RNAcentral lists this ribosomal RNA (1343 nucleotides) under uncultured bacterium. Its description in RNAcentral is "16S ribosomal RNA". It matches the Rfam family "Bacterial small subunit ribosomal RNA", at positions 28 to 1378 of the family's 1533-position model. The record is from RNAcentral.
GACGAACGCUGGCGGCGUGCUUAACACAUGCAAGUCGAACGGAAAGGCCCUGCUUUUGUGGGGUGCUCGAGUGGCGAACGGGUGAGUAACACGUGAGUAACCUGCCCUUGACUUUGGGAUAACUUCAGGAAACUGGGGCUAAUACCGGAUAGGAGCUCCUGCUGCAUGGUGGGGGUUGGAAAGUUUCGGCGGUUGGGGAUGGACUCGCGGCUUAUCAGCUUGUUGGUGGGGUAGUGGCUUACCAAGGCUUUGACGGGUAGCCGGCCUGAGAGGGUGACCGGCCACAUUGGGACUGAGAUACGGCCCAGACUCCUACGGGAGGCAGCAGUGGGGAAUAUUGCACAAUGGGCGGGAGCCUGAUGCAGCAACGCCGCGUGCGGGAUGACGGCCUUCGGGUUGUAAACCGCUUUCGCCUGUGACGAAGCGUGAGUGACGGUAAUGGGUAAAGAAGCACCGGCUAACUACGUGCCAGCAGCCGCGGUGAUACGUAGGGUGCGAGCGUUGUCCGGAUUUAUUGGGCGUAAAGGGCUCGUAGGUGGUUGAUCGCGUCGGAAGUGUAAUCUUGGGGCUUAACCCUGAGCGUGCUUUCGAUACGGGUUGACUUGAGGAAGGUAGGGGAGAAUGGAAUUCCUGGUGGAGCGGUGGAAUGCGCAGAUAUCAGGAGGAACACCAGUGGCGAAGGCGGUUCUCUGGGCCUUUCCUGACGCUGAGGAGCGAAAGCGUGGGGAGCGAACAGGCUUAGAUACCCUGGUAGUCCACGCUGUAAACGGUGGGUACUAGGUGUGGGGUCCAUUCCACGGGUUCCGUGCCGUAGCUAACGCUUUAAGUACCCCGCCUGGGGAGUACGGCCGCAAGGCUAAAACUCAAAGGAAUUGACGGGGCCCCGCACAAGCGGCGGAGCAUGCGGAUUAAUUCGAUGCAACGCGUAGAACCUUACCUGGGUUUGACAUGGAUCGGGAGCGCUCAGAGAUGGGUGUGCCUCUUUUGGGGUCGGUUCACAGGUGGUGCAUGGCUGUCGUCAGCUCGUGUCGUGAGAUGUUGGGUUAAGUCCCGCAACGAGCGCAACCCUUGUUCACUGUCGCCAGCACGUUAUGGUGGGGACUCAGUGGAGACCGCCGGGGUCAACUCGGAGGAAGGUGGGGAUGACGUCAAGUCAUCAUGCCCCUUAUGUCCAGGGCUUCACGCAUGCUACAAUGGCUGGUACAGAGAGUGGCGAGCCUGUGAGGGUGAGCGAAUCUCGGAAAGCCGGUCUCAGUUCGGAUUGGGGUCUGCAACUCGACCUCAUGAAGUCGGAGUCGCUAGUAAUCGCAGAUCAGCAACGCUGCGGUGAAUACGUUCCCGGG